Molecule: ribosomal RNA, 278 nt
Filed under: uncultured bacterium
Lineage: Bacteria
Description: partial 16S ribosomal RNA
Rfam family: Bacterial small subunit ribosomal RNA
Source: RNAcentral
GCAAACCAAAGCUGGCGACCGGCGCACGGGUGAGUAACACGUAUCCAACCUGCCGAUAACUCCGGAAUAGCCUUUCGAAAGAAAGAUUAAUACCGGAUAGCAUACGAAUAUCGCAUGAUAUUUUUAUUAAAGAAUUUCGGUUAUCGAUGGGGAUGCGUUCCAUUAGUUUGUUGGCGGGGUAACGGCCCACCAAGACUACGAUGGAUAGGGGUUCUGAGAGGAAGGUCCCCCACAUUGGAACUGAGACACGGUCCAAACUCCUACGGGAGGCCAGCAUG